GCACCUAUGGUGUAGUAGGUUAUCACACUCGCUUAGUAGUGCUCUGUUGAGUAGCGAGAGGUCUGCGGUUCGAAUCCGUGUGGGUGCA
This 88-nucleotide transfer RNA is filed under the name Chlorella variabilis. It matches the Rfam family "tRNA". Rfam says of the family: Transfer RNA (tRNA) molecules are approximately 80 nucleotides in length. Their secondary structure includes four short double-helical elements and three loops (D, anti-codon, and T loops). The record is from Rfam by way of RNAcentral. Lineage: Eukaryota; Viridiplantae; Chlorophyta; Trebouxiophyceae; Chlorellales; Chlorellaceae.